GAACUCUGGGAUAAGCGUUGGAAACGACGUCUAAUACCGGAUAGGACCUUGGAUCGCAUGAUCUGGGGUGGAAAGUUUUUCGGUUUGGGAUGGACUCGCGGCCUAUCAGCUUGUUGGUGAGGUAAUGGCUCACCAAGGCGUCGACGGGUAGCCGGCCUGAGAGGGUGACCGGCCACACUGGGACUGAGACACGGCCCAGACUCCUACGGGAGGCAGCAGUGGGGAAUAUUGCACAAUGGGCGCAAGCCUGAUGCAGCAACGCCGCGUGCGGGAUGACGGCCUUCGGGUUGUAAACCGCUUUUAGUAGGGAAGAAGGGCUUCGGCUUGACGGUACCUGCAGAAAAAGGACCGGCUAACUACGUGCCAGCAGCCGCGGUAAUACGUAGGGUCCGAGCGUUGUCCGGAAUUAUUGGGCGUAAAGAGCUCGUAGGCGGUUUGUCGCGUCUGCUGUGAAAACUAGAGGCUCAACCUCUAGCCUGCAGUGGGUACGGGCAGACUUGAGUGCGGUAGGGGAGAAUGGAAUUCCUGGUGUAGCGGUGGAAUGCGCAGAUAUCAGGAGGAACACCGAUGGCGAAGGCAGUUCUCUGGGCCGUAACUGACGCUGAGGAGCGAAAGCGUGGGGAGCGAACAGGAUUAGAUACCCUGGUAGUCCACGCCGUAAACGUUGGGCGCUAGAUGUGGGGACCUUUCCACGGUUUCCGUGUCGUAGCUAACGCAUUAAGCGCCCCGCCUGGGGAGUACGGCCGCAAGGCUAAAACUCAAAGGAAUUGACGGGGGCCCGCACAAGCGGCGGAGCAUGCGGAUUAAUUCGAUGCAACGCGAAGAACCUUACCAAGGCUUGACAUACACGAGAACGGGCCAGAAAUGGUCAACUCUUUGGACACUCGUGAACAGGUGGUGCAUGGUUGUCGUCAGCUCGUGUCGUGAGAUGUUGGGUUAAGUCCCGCAACGAGCGCAACCCUCGUCGCAUGUUGCCAGCACGUUAUGGUGGGAACUCAUGUGAGACUGCCGGGGUCAACUCGGAGGAAGGUGGGGAUGACGUCAAAUCAUCAUGCCCCUUAUGUCUUGGGCUUCACGCAUGCUACAAUGGCCGGUACAAAGGGCUGCGAUGUCGUAAGGCGGAGCGAAUCCCAAAAAGCCGGUCUCAGUUCGGAUUGAGGUCUGCAACU
This 1169-nucleotide ribosomal RNA is filed under the name Agromyces sp. Its description in RNAcentral is "bacterial SSU rRNA". It matches the Rfam family "Bacterial small subunit ribosomal RNA", at positions 133 to 1312 of the family's 1533-position model. Lineage: Bacteria; Bacillati; Actinomycetota; Actinomycetes; Micrococcales; Microbacteriaceae. The record is from RNAcentral.